Long non-coding RNA from Lolium perenne, 928 nucleotides. RefSeq lists it as uncharacterized. NCBI's taxonomy places the organism in Eukaryota, Viridiplantae, Streptophyta, Magnoliopsida, Poales, Poaceae. The record is from RefSeq and is a predicted model, not a curated record.
CAUAGACAUUUGUUGCAUACCGUUUUGGUACAUGCGGCGGAAUUAAUGAAUACCAAAAAUUACGGUCUGAGUAUCAAAAAAAAAAAAAAAUUACGGUCUGCCUGGCAGGAUACGCCGAACGUCUAGCCGUACCAUUCAUCCAGUCCCCCAAGAUCCAGAAAAGUGGCGGCGCAUCGAGGGCGGCGGCCGGACCGUCGGCGGAGAUAGGUGGCUCCACGCUUCCCUCUAGGAAGACAAGGCGGCGGCCUAUCCCGCUGGAGGACAGCAGCGGCGCAUCGGGGCGGCGGCAUCUCGUUUCCACGGCCGGCUCCUUCGGCUUUGUCGCCCCCGUUAUCGGACAGGAGAUCGAGCCACAUCGGGCCGGAGCGAGCUGCCGAAGAAGGAGAUUCAGCACGCCGGCAGCUCAAGAUCUGCUGUGCUCAUCGCUGGCCGCAGUUGUGAAUUGUGGACAGCCUCGGUGCUGUGGCCAUCGUGCAACCGCUGCCGGAGCGGGAGAAGGUGGUGCCGCUGGUGUCUGCCUUGUCGCUCGCCACGCACCACGACUGGUACUCCUUCAUCGUCCUCGUCCAGGAUAUGGAUAAUGCAGUCUGCCAAGGCAUAGCGAGAUUACGGGGCUGCAUUGAAGAACAUUUUAAGAAAAGGACUGCCUUUCACAUACAAUAUAUUUGAUUUGUCAGCUCGGCGUUUGGGUCACAUUGAUCAUUAGAUUGUGGACGUGGGAUGAUGCUUUGCUUUUCCACAUCUUUGAAUCUGAUUUUUUGUAAAAUCCUAUUAAUAUGGCGGAUUCAUUUGUUGUAGUCCUGAUUCUCAUGACUAACUCUUACCAUUUCCUUUUCCUUACAUGUCAAUCCAUGACCAAUCAAUCUUUGCAUGAUGGUACUUGUGCAUGUGAUAUUUCAAAUUGUAUAAACUCCAUUUCACCUAUUGU